ACUUGCUUUCUUUGCCGGCGACCGGCGCACGGGUGAGUAACACGUAUCCAACCUGCCCUUUACUCGGGGAUAGCCUUUCGAAAGAAAGAUUAAUACCCGAUGGCAUAAUGAUUCCGCAUGGUUUCAUUAUUAAAGGAUUCCGGUAAAGGAUGGGGAUGCGUUCCAUUAGGUUGUUGGUGAGGUAACGGCCCACCAAGCCUUCGAUGGAUAGGGGUUCUGAGAGGAAGGUCCCCCACAUUGGAACUGAGACACGGUCCAAACUCCUACGGAGGCAGCAUG
Molecule: ribosomal RNA, 279 nt
Filed under: uncultured bacterium
Lineage: Bacteria
Description: partial 16S ribosomal RNA
Rfam family: Bacterial small subunit ribosomal RNA
Source: RNAcentral